This 253-nucleotide ribosomal RNA is filed under the name uncultured bacterium. Its description in RNAcentral is "partial 16S ribosomal RNA". It matches the Rfam family "Bacterial small subunit ribosomal RNA", at positions 524 to 776 of the family's 1533-position model. The record is from RNAcentral.
UACGAAGGGGGCGAGCGUUGUUCGGAAUUACUGGGCGUAAAGGGCGCGUAGGCGGCCGAUCAAGUUAGAUGUGAAAGUCCUGGGCUUAACCUGGGGACUGCAUUUGAUACGGUGUGGCUAGAGUUCGGGAGAGGAGAGUGGAAUUCCCAGUGUAGAGGUGAAAUUCGUAGAUAUCGGCAGGAACACCCAGGGGGAAACCAGUCGACUGGGCAUCUACUGACGCUGAGGUGCGAGAGCGUGGGGAGCGAACCGG